Molecule: ribosomal RNA, 428 nt
Filed under: uncultured bacterium
Lineage: Bacteria
Description: bacterial SSU rRNA
Rfam family: Bacterial small subunit ribosomal RNA
Source: RNAcentral
UGGGGAAUCUUGGACAAUGGGGGGAACCCUGAUCCAGCGAUGCCGCGUGAGUGAAGAAGGCCUUCGGGUCGUAAAGCUCUUUGGGUUGGGAAGAAGGAUGUUAGGGUAAUAUCCUAGCAUUUUGACGGUACCGACAGAAUAAGCACCGGCAAACUCUGUGCCAGCAGCCGCGGUAAUACAGAGGGUGCGAGCGUUAAUCGGAAUUACUGGGCGUAAAGGGCGUGUAGGCGGUAGUAUGUGUGUGAUGUGAAAGCCCUGGGCUUAACCUAGGAAGUGCAUUGCAAACUAUAUUACUGGAGUAUAUGAGAGGGUGGCGGAAUUUCCGGUGUAGCGGUGAAAUGCGUAGAGAUCGGAAGGAACGUCGAUGGCGAAGGCAGCCACCUGGCAUAAUACUGACGCUGAGGCGCGAAAGCGUGGGGAGCGAACAG